GAUGAAGAACGCAGCGAAAUGCGAUACGUAAUGUGAAUUGCAGAAUUCAGUGAAUCAUCGAAUAUUUGAACGCAUAUUGCGCUCUUUGGUAUUCCGAAGAGCAUGCUUGUUUGAGUAUCAGUAAACACCUCAAAGGUUUUGGAUUUUUUAAUCGAAAAGCUUUGGACUUGAGCAAUCCCAACACCAAUCUUUUUGAGAUCGGUGGCGGGUUGCUUGAAAUGCAGGUGCAGCUGGACAUUCUCCUGAGCUAAAAGCAUAUUCAUUUAGUCCCGUCAAACGGAUUAUUACUCUUGCUGCAGCUAACAUAAAGGGAGUUUGACCGUAUUGGCUGACUGAUGCAGGAUUUCACAAGGGUCGGCAACGAUUCUUGUUAAACUCGAUCUCAAAUCAAGUAAGACUACCCGCUGAACUUAAGCAUAUCAAUAAGCGGAGGA
This 434-nucleotide unclassified non-coding RNA is filed under the name soil metagenome. Its description in RNAcentral is "partial contains 5.8S ribosomal RNA, internal transcribed spacer 2, and large subunit ribosomal RNA". The stretch from base 1 to 120 matches the Rfam family "5.8S ribosomal RNA", at positions 35 to 154 of the family's 154-position model. The record is from RNAcentral.